UCAUUCAUCACAACUUUUUUCUUCCCGCAGAACUUCAUCUUCUCAUCUUAUAAUUCACAUUCUUUUUCUGUUUUUUUUCUUUCUCCUUUAAUUCUUCCUUCAACCAUUAUCACACAUCAAUUGAUCCAUCAUCUCCACCUUCAUCAUCUCUAGUUCGUUAGCUUUAAAAGAUAGGAAAUUUUUGGGUUAUUGGACUUGCGGUUUUCGGAUCAAGAGGUCGAGAUUGUUGGGUCUUUAUAGUAUAAUUUCACUUUUAUUACUUUUCCUAAUCAAAUUGCGGGUUCAUAGAGGAACCUUUUUGACUUGAGAUUGAGAUACACUGACUGUGUUUGCUACUAAGGGACUUGAAGAUAGUUAGCUCCAGUUGGGUUAAAGAGUGCGUUGGAUCCCUUUUGAUUUAAUAGGACUUUUAAAAAGACUUCCGCUGUUAUUUAUUUAUAAGAUUUAUGUUAUGGUUUGUAAUAAUUAAUUUUACAUUCUAUUUAGUUGGUCUGUAAUAAUUAGUUAAAACUUAUUGGUUAUUGUUUUAGUUAGAACCAUUAGCCUUGCGGUUAUUAUUAAUAAUUAUCGCGGCGUAGCACCUUUGGAUUUUCGAGUUUAUUUAUAUUAAGUUGAUUUUAGAAGUAUUGGAAA
Molecule: long non-coding RNA, 633 nt
Organism: Beta vulgaris subsp. vulgaris (sugar beet)
Lineage: Eukaryota; Viridiplantae; Streptophyta; Magnoliopsida; Caryophyllales; Amaranthaceae
Exons: 3
Source: RefSeq, a predicted model, not a curated record